RNAcentral lists this transfer RNA (75 nucleotides) under Candidatus Carsonella ruddii (Diaphorina cf. continua). RNAcentral's name for it is "tRNA-Val". It matches the Rfam family "tRNA". From Rfam's summary of the family: Transfer RNA (tRNA) molecules are approximately 80 nucleotides in length. Their secondary structure includes four short double-helical elements and three loops (D, anti-codon, and T loops). Further hydrogen bonds mediate the characteristic L-shaped molecular structure. tRNAs have two regions of fundamental functional importance: the anti-codon, which is responsible for specific mRNA codon recognition, and the 3' end, to which the tRNAs corresponding amino acid is attached (by aminoacyl-tRNA synthetases). tRNAs cope with the degeneracy of the genetic code in two manners: having more than one tRNA (with a specific anti-codon) for a particular amino acid; and 'wobble' base-pairing, i.e. permitting non-standard base-pairing at the 3rd anti-codon position. The record is from RNAcentral. Lineage: Bacteria; Pseudomonadati; Pseudomonadota; Gammaproteobacteria; Oceanospirillales; Halomonadaceae.
UAGGCGAUUAACUCAAUAGGUAGAGUAUUAGUUUUACAUACUAAAUGUUACAAGUUCAAAUCUUGUAUUGCCUAU